CUUGCAGCCAUAUCACAUUGAAACACCAGUCCUCAUAUGAUCAUUGAAGUUAAGCAACCUUCAGCCUGAUCAGGAUCUGGAUGAGUGACUACUUGAGAAUACCAGGUGCUGUAA
This is a non-coding RNA of Acanthosepion pharaonis, 114 nucleotides long. The record is from the annotation of a GenBank genome assembly. NCBI's taxonomy places the organism in Eukaryota, Metazoa, Mollusca, Cephalopoda, Sepiida, Sepiidae.